CAGAGGAGGUUGCGGCAAUAACAGGUCUGUGAUGCCCUCAGAUGUCCCGGGCUGCACACGUGCUACAAUGAGUGGCGCAAUGUGCUAAUGUUUAAGGGAUAAGAGUGUGGUCAGUAGAACGUCGGGAUUUCCCCUGACGUCUCCCCCGCACGAUUAUCAGCCUUCCCUUAACAGGGCGGGCAACCUUUUCAAAAUACUGGUUUGAUGUUAAAGUAUUGAGUCGUUUUUUUUGGAUGGUGGUUUGUUAACCAAUACCAUCCGGCAACUGCUCGCGAGUUUGUGGUUCUGGCGACUCAUGGUGGGGACCGACGUUUGUAAUUUUUUGUCGCGUGUUAACUAGGAAUGCCUUGUACUGUCGAUUCACUAAGUUACUGGGAAUACGUCCCUGCCCUUUGUACACACCGCCCGUCGCUCUUAC
Molecule: ribosomal RNA, 418 nt
Filed under: Globigerinoides ruber albus
Lineage: Eukaryota; Foraminifera; Rotaliida; Globigerinidae
Description: partial small subunit ribosomal RNA
Rfam family: Eukaryotic small subunit ribosomal RNA
Source: RNAcentral